GCCUUGGUGGCUCAGUGGGUUGGGCAUCUGAAUUCGGCUCAGGUCAUGAUCUCACAGUUUGUGGGUUUGAGCCCCGCAUGGGGCU
This is a non-coding RNA of Felis catus (domestic cat), 85 nucleotides long. The record is from Rfam. Lineage: Eukaryota; Metazoa; Chordata; Mammalia; Carnivora; Felidae.